AACGACACUGGUGUCUUAGGGGGAGCUAGGGUUUUUUAGCUUUUUUUCUGAAAAGAUUGGGUUAUGGGCUUUAGGGUUUUUGUUUGUUUUGGACUUGUAAGUUGGGCUUGUAAUAUUUGGUCUGGACUGUUAAUUUAUUAUUAUUUAUUUAUUUUGUGUUUGUUUAGGGCACGGGCAAAAUUGAGCCCUUACAGCUGCCCCUCUUUGCUCGUUGUCAUGUAACGAGAAUGAAGCAAAGACUUUUAAGAAGGACCAAUUUUGUCUUGCACGUCAAAUUUCGACUUUUUUUGUGCUUU
Molecule: long non-coding RNA, 296 nt
Filed under: Gossypium barbadense (sea-island cotton)
Lineage: Eukaryota; Viridiplantae; Streptophyta; Magnoliopsida; Malvales; Malvaceae
Description: long non-coding RNA (GBAR_LNC022722)
Source: RNAcentral